UACGGAGGGUGCGAGCGUUGUCCGGAAUCACUGGGCGUAAAGGGCGCGUAGGCGGCCUGCUAAGUCGAACGUGAAAUCCCCGGGCUCAACCCGGGAACUGCGUCCGAUACUGGAAGGCUUGAAUCCGGGAGAGGGAUGUGGAAUUCCAGGUGUAGCGGUGAAAUGCGUAGAUAUCUGGAGGAACACCGGUGGCGAAGGCGACAUCCUGGACCGGUAUUGACGCUGAGGCGCGAAAGCCAGGGGAGCAAACGGG
RNAcentral lists this ribosomal RNA (253 nucleotides) under uncultured bacterium. Its description in RNAcentral is "partial 16S ribosomal RNA". It matches the Rfam family "Bacterial small subunit ribosomal RNA", at positions 524 to 776 of the family's 1533-position model. The record is from RNAcentral.